GGAGAGAUGGCUGAGUGGACUAAAGCGGCGGAUU
RNAcentral lists this transfer RNA (34 nucleotides) under Macleaya cordata. Its description in RNAcentral is "tRNA-Ser". Lineage: Eukaryota; Viridiplantae; Streptophyta; Magnoliopsida; Ranunculales; Papaveraceae. The record is from RNAcentral.